RNAcentral lists this ribosomal RNA (505 nucleotides) under uncultured bacterium. RNAcentral's name for it is "partial 16S ribosomal RNA". It matches the Rfam family "Bacterial small subunit ribosomal RNA", at positions 28 to 507 of the family's 1533-position model. The record is from RNAcentral.
GACGAACGCUGGCGGCGUGCCUAAUACAUGCAAGUAGAACGCACAGUUUAUACCGUAGCUUGCUACACCAUAGACUGUGAGUUGCGAACGGGUGAGUCACGCGUAUGUAACCUGCCUUGUAGCGGGGGAUAACUAUUGUAAACGUUAUCUAAUACCGCAUCAUAUUGAUUAUUCCAUGAUUAUUGAUUGCAUGAUGCUAUUGCAUCACUACCAGCUGGUCCUGCGUUGUAUUAGCUAGUAGGUCAGGUAACCGCCCACCUAUGCGACGAUACAUAGCCGACCUGAGAAGGUGAUAGGCCACAAUGGGAAUGAGAAACGGCCCAGACUUCUACGGGAGGGAGCAGUAGGGAAUCAUCGGCAAUGGACGAAAGUCUGACCGAGCAAAGACGGGUGAGGGAAGAAGGUUUUCGGAUCGGAAAGCUCUGUUGUAAGAGAAGAAAGGGUGUGAGAGUGGAAAGUUCACACUGUGACGGUACCUAACCAGAAAGGGACGGCUAACUACGUG